CCGAGGAAAAGAAAUCAACCGAGAUUCCCCCAGUAGCGGCGAGCGAACGGGGAGCAGCCCAGAGCCUGAAUCAGUGUGUGUGUUAGUGGAAGCGUCUGGAAAGGCGCGCGAUACAGGGUGACAGCCCCGUACACAAAAAUGCACAUGCUGUGAGCUCGAUGAGUAGGGCGGGACACGUGGUAUCCUGUCUGAAUAUGGGGGGACCAUCCUCCAAGGCUAAAUACUCCUGACUGACCGAUAGUGAACCAGUACCGUGAGGGAAAGGCGAAAAGAACCCCGGCGAGGGGAGUGAAAAAGAACCUGAAACCGUGUACGUACAAGCAGUGGGAGCACAGAGCAAUCUGUGUGACUGCGUACCUUUUGUAUAAUGGGUCAGCGACUUAUAUUCUGUAGCAAGGUUAACCGAAUAGGGGAGCCGAAGGGAAACCGAGUCUUAACUGGGCGUUAAGUUGCAGGGUAUAGACCCGAAACCCGGUGAUCUAGCCAUGGGCAGGUUGAAGGUUGGGUAACACUAACUGGAGGACCGAACCGACUAAUGUUGAAAAAUUAGCGGAUGACUUGUGGCUGGGGGUGAAAGGCCAAUCAAACCGGGAGAUAGCUGGUUCUCCCCGAAAGCUAUUUAGGUAGCGCCUCGUGAAUUCAUCUCCGGGGGUAGAGCACUGUUUCGGCAAGGGGGUCAUCCCGACUUACCAACCCGAUGCAAACUGCGAAUACCGGAGAAUGUUAUCACGGGAGACACACGGCGGGUGCUAACGUCCGUCGUGAAGAGGGAAACAACCCAGACCGCCAGCUAAGGUCCCAAAGUCAUGGUUAAGUGGGAAACGAUGUGGGAAGGCCCAGACAGCCAGGAUGUUGGCUUAGAAGCAGCCAUCAUUUAAAGAAAGCGUAAUAGCUCACUGGUCGAGUCGGCCUGCGCGGAAGAUGUAACGGGGCUAAACCAUG
This 942-nucleotide ribosomal RNA is filed under the name Escherichia coli. RNAcentral describes it as "partial 23S ribosomal RNA". It matches the Rfam family "Bacterial large subunit ribosomal RNA", at positions 211 to 1191 of the family's 2925-position model. Lineage: Bacteria; Pseudomonadati; Pseudomonadota; Gammaproteobacteria; Enterobacterales; Enterobacteriaceae. The record is from RNAcentral.